UUCUAUUUCAUUAUGUAUUUACUUUAUACAAUAGUUAAUUUAUUAUUUCUCUAUUUCUACAGAUUCUAUCUAAGAUAAAUGAGUGAGAAGAUUGAAGUUUAUUUUAAUACAAGUGAAAAAGCAAGUCGUCUCCUAUGGUGUUUUAUCAGUUAAGUUAUCAUCUGGGAGACUUGUAGUUAAUUAAGAUGAGCAUACAUACAUACUAUAUUAUACAGGGUUUCGCAAGCAAGCGGGUUUCUUCAAUAACUGCUUUAUAGUUGAAGAUAUCAAAAAAAGUUUCUUAUAAAAGUGCUACCAUAUAGGAACAUUAGAAAACACCAGAUGCCAUUAAAUUAAGGAGCAUCUGUUGUAUCACUCCUCAUUUGUUCAAUUGAGUAGAAGUAUACUUAUGGUCCUAAAGAAAGCAUGGAAGUGCCUUUUUUCCAUUGGGAAUAAAAAGACAGUGUGCUGUUGCUGUAGAAAAGAUUCAUGACAGUGAACUGAUUGUCUAACGAACAAAUGAGAGGGAAAAUUGCAGUUAAUUUUGAUGCUGCAGAAAAAACCGAUGCUUUUGACGUCUUCACCUUGCAACAUUGUGCAGUUAAUUUUGGCCCUGAGAGUGAGAGACAAUUGGAAAUUAAUUUGAAAGCCACUUAAAUAACAAAUUGUCUGUGGUAUCAUUCCUAGAUUUGGUUUGCUCAAUACACUGAUGAACUUUAGAACACUACUUUUUACUAAGG
Molecule: long non-coding RNA, 719 nt
Organism: Agrilus planipennis (emerald ash borer)
Lineage: Eukaryota; Metazoa; Arthropoda; Insecta; Coleoptera; Buprestidae
Exons: 3
Source: RefSeq, a predicted model, not a curated record